Molecule: unclassified non-coding RNA, 435 nt
Filed under: Hevea brasiliensis (rubber tree)
Lineage: Eukaryota; Viridiplantae; Streptophyta; Magnoliopsida; Malpighiales; Euphorbiaceae
Source: RNAcentral
GCAAGAGAAUGAUGUUUGUGGCAACCAUCCUGCCGUUGUCGGGAUAGUUAGUAAAGGAAGCUGUGCUGGAAUCCUCCUUUAUAAACCCCUGACUUUUUUGAUAAGGAUGGAUUUGAGCUUCCGAGCGAGUUCUUGAGAACGGAUUUUCCGUUCAAGGAUCUUACGAGCCAAUACACGCUUCUCCGAGUUCUUGAUGUGAUGCAGCUGUUCGCGCUUAAUCAGCCGUUCUAUUCCGCUAGACUGCAUUUUCCUCUGCAUCAAAAACAAAGCUUGGUCUAGGUUAUUGUUCCUCACCUUCACUCUUAUGCCUCGCCAUUGUUGCAGCCCCCAAUUUAGUGGAUUUAGGGCUACGUUCGGUCGAUUGAAGAUGUUCAUCACUGACCUAAUCAUUUCUAGGGUUUCUCGAUUUUGCUCUGAAAUUGGGGCUUUUUCAAU